Molecule: transfer RNA, 71 nt
Filed under: Harpadon nehereus (Bombay duck fish)
Lineage: Eukaryota; Metazoa; Chordata; Actinopteri; Aulopiformes; Synodontidae
Description: tRNA-Trp
Rfam family: tRNA
About the family: Transfer RNA (tRNA) molecules are approximately 80 nucleotides in length. Their secondary structure includes four short double-helical elements and three loops (D, anti-codon, and T loops).
Source: RNAcentral
AGGGGUUUAGGAUAAUACAAAACCAAGGGCCUUCAAAGCCCUAAAUGAGGGUGAAAAUCCCCCAGCCCCUG